This 37-nucleotide transfer RNA is filed under the name Cobananthus calochlamys. RNAcentral describes it as "partial transfer RNA-Phe". The record is from RNAcentral. RNAcentral also lists the same sequence under 1 other name. Lineage: Eukaryota; Viridiplantae; Streptophyta; Magnoliopsida; Lamiales; Gesneriaceae.
UGGUCGGGAUAGCUCAGCUGGUAGAGCAGAGGACUGA